Molecule: transfer RNA, 74 nt
Filed under: Candidatus Dadabacteria bacterium
Lineage: Bacteria; Pseudomonadati; Thermodesulfobacteriota; Candidatus Dadabacteria
Description: tRNA-Pro
Rfam family: tRNA
About the family: Transfer RNA (tRNA) molecules are approximately 80 nucleotides in length. Their secondary structure includes four short double-helical elements and three loops (D, anti-codon, and T loops).
Source: RNAcentral
CGGGGUGUAGCUCAGAUUGGUAGAGCGUUGCGUUCGGGACGCAGAGGUCGCUGGUUCAAGUCCAGUCACCCCGA